GGUGGCGAGUGGCGAACGGGUGAGUAAUGUAUCGGAACGUACCUUCAGUGGGGAUAACGUAGCGAAAGUUACGCUAAUACCGCAUAUUCUGUGAGCAGGAAAGCAGGGGAUCGCAAGACCUUGCGCUGAUUGAGCGGCCGAUAUCAGAUUAGCUAGUUGGUGAGGUAAAGGCUCACCAAGGCGACGAUCUGUAGCGGGUCUGAGAGGAUGAUCCGCCACACUGGAACUGAGACACGGUCCAGACUCCUACGGGAGGCAGCAGUGGGGAAUUUUGGACAAUGGGGCAACCCUGAUCCAGCCAUGCCGCGUGAGUGAAGAAGGCCUUCGGGUUGUAAAGCUCUUUCGGCCGGGAAGAAAUCGCAUGGGCUAAUACCCUGUGCGGAUGACGGUACCGGCAUAAGAAGCACCGGCUAACUACGUA
RNAcentral lists this ribosomal RNA (421 nucleotides) under uncultured bacterium. RNAcentral describes it as "bacterial SSU rRNA". It matches the Rfam family "Bacterial small subunit ribosomal RNA", at positions 87 to 507 of the family's 1533-position model. The record is from RNAcentral.